This 23-nucleotide microRNA is filed under the name Monodelphis domestica (gray short-tailed opossum). Its description in RNAcentral is "mdo-miR-7248-5p". Lineage: Eukaryota; Metazoa; Chordata; Mammalia; Didelphimorphia; Didelphidae. The record is from miRBase by way of RNAcentral.
CAUAGAGCGUGGACUGGGUGUGC